Amblyraja radiata (thorny skate) is the source of this 977-nucleotide RNA transcript. It is a transcript of the gene named ribulose-5-phosphate-3-epimerase, with no coding region annotated. The record is from RefSeq and is a predicted model, not a curated record. The transcript has 8 exons. Lineage: Eukaryota; Metazoa; Chordata; Chondrichthyes; Rajiformes; Rajidae.
AGGGCAGGCCGGGAGUUGUAGUUCCCGUUGGUCGCCGUGGAGGGGAUCGCGAUGGCGAACUGCUGCCGCAUCGGGCCGUCCAUCCUCAACAGCGACCUGUCGCGCCUGGGCGCCGAGUGCCGCCGCAUGCUGGCUUGUGGAGCCGAUUACCUGCAUUUGGAUGUGAUGGACGGCCAUUUUGUGCCUAACAUCACCUUUGGUCAUCCUGUGGUGGAAUGUCUUCGGCAAGAUCUUGGACAAGAGCCCUUCUUUGACAUGCACAUGAUGGUCUCAAAGCCGGAGCAGUGGGUGAAUCCUAUGGCAGUAGCAGGAGCGAAUCAGUACACAUUCCACCUGGAGGCUACGAACAACCCUGGUCCUCUCAUCAAAGACAUAAGAGAAAAUUGUAUGAAGGUGGGGUUGGCAAUUAAACCAGGGACAUCUGUAGAAGAUUUGGCUCCAUGGGCAAAUCAGAUUGAUAUGGCUCUGGUGAUGACUGUGGAGCCAGGGUUUGGAGGUCAGAGUUUCAUGGCUGAUAUGAUGACAAAGGUGCUUUGGUUGAGGACACAGUUUCCUUCCCUGGAUAUUGAAGUUGAUGGAGGUGUAGGACCAGACACUAUUCAUAAAUGUGCAGAGGCUGGAGCAAACAUGAUUGUGUCUGGCAGUGCUGUCAUGAAGAGUGAUGAUCCCAGAACGGUGAUCAACCUGCUCCGAAAUGCUUGUAUGGAAGCUAUUCAGAAGCGUAGUCUGGACAGGUGAAAGCUCAACAGUGCAACUACUCCAUGCCUGCUUCAAGUGCAAAUGGCACUCUCUCCGAAGCUGCCCGGCCAUUCUCACUGAAUGCGGAGUAUAAUCUUGUGAGAGGCAUAAGACUACGUUUUUCAUCUACAACUUCUUCCGGAUGAUUUAAGUGUUUUAUAUCUUCCUCGUUCAAAGGGAAUGUACGACAAUUCCAUGGUAGUACAACCUGCAAUAAAGUAUAAUAUUUUUAAAUGGGA